RNAcentral lists this long non-coding RNA (628 nucleotides) under Anas platyrhynchos platyrhynchos (common mallard). Its description in RNAcentral is "lncRNA (ENSAPLG00000018621.1)". Lineage: Eukaryota; Metazoa; Chordata; Aves; Anseriformes; Anatidae. The record is from RNAcentral.
GGAUUUUUUUUUUUUUUUAAAUAAACUUUUAAACUGUUUUCUUUGUUCCCUUAGAAAGAAGUGGGGAAGAAAUUCAGAGAGAAUUAUCAAUAUUCCUCAAUGUUGCUCCAAUUUGGAACACAAACACCAAAUGUGCCAAAAUUCCAGUGUGCCAAAACACUGGAAUUUUCAGGACAAUGAGAAUUCCAAAUUUUGUGGUUGGCUUCUGCUUUGCUCCUGGCAGUCCUUGUGGUCCCCUCUCAACUGCUUCCCCUUUCCUUUCUUUGAUGAAAUACUACUCCUUGCACGCUGAUGGUGGCCAGGUGCUCCAGUGGAGGAAGCAUUUCAUGAACACUGAGGUGUCAUCUGUUGCUGCAUCCUUCCAGAUGGCUUAAAACCCUGGACAUUAGCAUGAGAUGGCCAUGCUUCGGUUGCCUUACACUUUCAGCAAAUGACAUUGAAUAUUAGUGAUUCUGCCAUAUCUGCAGGAAACGGUUUGAAGCUGCAAUUCUGCAGAAUGAUCACAUAUUCUGGAGUCUUACACUACUAAAUUGAAGUCUUUCUGACCUAAAAAUUAGAUCCCUGGCACUGCAAAUGAUGCCACAGUCAUUGUUUGUUCUGCAGCAAUAUCUGAAUAAAUACGUGCCAA